This 280-nucleotide ribosomal RNA is filed under the name uncultured Burkholderiales bacterium. RNAcentral's name for it is "partial 16S ribosomal RNA". It matches the Rfam family "Bacterial small subunit ribosomal RNA", at positions 505 to 784 of the family's 1533-position model. Lineage: Bacteria; Pseudomonadati; Pseudomonadota; Betaproteobacteria; Burkholderiales. The record is from RNAcentral.
GUGCCAGCAGCCGCGGUAAUACGUAGGGUGCAAGCGUUAAUCGGAAUUACUGGGCGUAAAGCGUGCGCAGGCGGUUUUGUAAGACAGUGGUGAAAUCCCCGGGCUCAACCUGGGAACUGCCAUUGUGACUGCAAGGCUAGAGUGCGGCAGAGGGGGGUGGAAUUCCGCGUGUAGCAGUGAAAUGCGUAGAUAUGCGGAGGAACACCGAUGGCGAAGGCAAUCCCCUGGGCCUGCACUGACGCUCAUGCACGAAAGCGUGGGGAGCAAACAGGAUUAGAUA